CAAGGGCCUUAAAAUUAACCGGCAUAACGUCGCAAGACCAAAGAGGGGGACCUUCGGGCCUCUUGCCAUCAGAUGUGCCCAGAUGGGAUUAGCUAGUAGGUGGGGUAACGGCUCACCUAGGCGACGAUCCCUAGCUGGUCUGAGAGGAUGACCAGCCACACUGGAACUGAGACACGGUCCAGACUCCUACGGGAGGCAGCAGUGGGGAAUAUUGCACAAUGGGCGCAAGCCUGAUGCAGCCAUGCCGCGUGUAUGAAGAAGGCCUUCGGGUUGUAAAGUACUUUCAGCGGGGAGGAAGGUGUUGUGGUUAAUAACCGCAGCAAUUGACGUUACCCGCAGAAGAAGCACCGGCUAACUCCGUGCCAGCAGCCGCGGUAAUACGGAGGGUGCAAGCGUUAAUCGGAAUUACUGGGCGUAAAGCGCACGCAGGCGGUCUGUCAAGUCGGAUGUGAAAUCCCCGGGCUCAACCUGGGAACUGCAUUCGAAACUGGCAGGCUAGAGUCUUGUAGAGGGGGGUAGAAUUCCAGGUGUAGCGGUGAAAUGCGUAGAGAUCUGGAGGAAUACCGGGUGGCGAAGGCGGCCCCCUGGACAAAGACUGACGCUCAGGUUGCGAAAAGC
RNAcentral lists this ribosomal RNA (618 nucleotides) under Enterobacter sp. RNAcentral describes it as "bacterial SSU rRNA". It matches the Rfam family "Bacterial small subunit ribosomal RNA", at positions 149 to 761 of the family's 1533-position model. Lineage: Bacteria; Pseudomonadati; Pseudomonadota; Gammaproteobacteria; Enterobacterales; Enterobacteriaceae. The record is from RNAcentral.